Molecule: ribosomal RNA, 253 nt
Filed under: uncultured bacterium
Lineage: Bacteria
Description: partial 16S ribosomal RNA
Rfam family: Bacterial small subunit ribosomal RNA
Source: RNAcentral
UACGUAGGGUGCAGGCGUUAAUCGGAAUUACUGGGCGUAAAGCGUGCGCAGGCGGUUUGGUAAGACAGGCGUGAAAUCCCCGGGCUUAACCUGGGAAUGGCGCUUGUGACUGCCAGGCUAGAGUGCGUCAGAGGGGGGUAGAAUUCCACGUGUAGCAGUGAAAUGCGUAGAGAUGUGGAGGAAUACCGAUGGCGAAGGCAGCCCCCUGGGACGUGACUGACGCUCAUGCACGAAAGCGUGGGGAGCAAACAGG